Molecule: long non-coding RNA, 2521 nt
Organism: Macaca fascicularis (crab-eating macaque)
Lineage: Eukaryota; Metazoa; Chordata; Mammalia; Primates; Cercopithecidae
Source: Ensembl
UUUUUUUUUUUUUUUUUUUGCCUGCCAUGAGUUAUGGAAACAAAAGGGAGGAAAUAUAGUCUGAUUGCAGCAAUGCUGCAAGGCUUCUCGGGGGAGGUGGGGUUUGCAGUGCCUCUUUCUCCCUUUUUUUUUUUUUUUUUUUUGGAGGUGGAGUUUCGCUCUUGUUGCCCAGGCUGGAGUGCAAUGGCUCAAUCUUGGGUCACCGCAACCUCCGCCUUCUGGGUUCAAACUGUUCUCGUGUCUCAGCCUCCCGAGUAGCUGGGGUUACAGGCAUGCACCACCAUGCCCAGCUAAUUUUGUAUUUUUAGUAGAGACGGGGUUUCUCCAUUUUGGUCAGGCUGGUCUUGAACUCCUGACCUCAGGUGAUCCGCCCGUGUUCCCCUCCCAAAGUGCUGGGAUUACAGGCGUGAGCCACUGCGCCCGGCCUGCAGUGGAGGGAGUGUUGCCUGGAACCUGUUCGAGAAUAUCUGUCGCAUUUUCCUCCCCAGGGAGGGAAGGAACAUCUGUUCUCACCAAGGCAUGGGAAGUAGAGUGAAGACGACACUGAAGGACUCCUGUGUGUGCUGUAAAUGUCAUUCCUUUUCUGCUCUGACGUGCUCAUUCCCUCCUGAUAACGUCAGACAGAAGUGCCCAGUGCAGGCGCUGAGGGAAUGGUCUGUGUUAAAUGUAGAGGUUCCACAGGGCCUGUGGGUGGUCUGGUUCCUAAGUGUGCAUGAGCCUCGGCAGCUGGGGCUUGGCCCAGGUGUAGACGUGGUCACCCAUGCAGUGGGAUUCAGGGAGGCGAGCCCAGCCCGUGCCAUGCCACCACCCUCGGCUCCACUGUGGCUUGACAGUCUCCUGGACUGCUCUCUCCCCCAGGUCAGAGUCCCAACCGGGGAGCAGGGUGAACACGGAUGGCCAGCCUUCAGGGCCAUCCCACCCUUUCCAGGACUCUGUGCGGGAGGUCUGAGUGGGACAAGGCGUGUCGUUUCGUUUCCUGGGACUCAUAGGUGCAGAGUCUCAUGCUUCAUCCAGACCUCCUGAACAGAAACUGGGGGGCCCACUGGAUGGGGCCAGUGGCCUGUGUGCUAAGAAGCGUUCCCGUGAGGUUGGAGAGCACCGUUUUAGCAGCAGGUCAUGCCAUUCCAAGUGCCACGGAGCAGCAGCAUCACCAAGUGCUCCAGCAGAUGCCCAGAGCCGCGGUUUAAAGGACGUCCUUGGUCCUCGGGGGAUGCUGGAAGCCUGCCUGAAUGUAGAGAAGCAUUUGAUCCCUGGAAAAUCAAUCAAGUGUCAAUGCCUUUAAAAAGAUUAUGGGACCAAAUCCUGUGUUACUUCUGGCUGGAGAUCAGAAGAUCAGGCUGAGACUCCCUGACUCUCCAGAGGCCAGACACAUCACUCAGGCCCUGUGCUGACAGCUCUCACGAAGACAGAAGUCUCUGGUCCAAGAGCCUGAGCUGACGGGGUGGGAAUGCCAGCAGGCUGUAGUUACUCCUUGCUGAGGAUGGCAGUCCAGCCCUGCAGAGGCUGGGAGAGGCCAGAGGCCUGCACAGGUCUGUGCUGACCAGCCUUUCCUUCACCCAGGCGAAGGCCACAGCUGAGGUCUGAAGUGUUAGAGGAGGAGGUGGGAGGGCCAGGCCAAGGGCCCCCCGUGCACAGGUCCCCUGCACAGCAGGCUGGCCUCACAGGGGAAGAGCGCAGGGCUGCUGCUGUGCCUCCACAAGCUCAAUGCAGCCCCGCAGAGGCGUUGCCCUCCUGACCAGCUGUUUUCGUUGCUGAGAUCUCAAGAUGAUCCAACUCUCUGAUCCCCCUAAACUACCUUGUAUCGCCAUUGUUUUAGCUACGAAUCAUAACCAUGUAAAUUUAAUGAAAGUUUAACCUGAGUCCUGCUUAUUGCAGCCAUGGCGAGUCCCACUCAGACCUAGAGUCUGCAGGAAUCACAGUGAAAUCUGGAUUAGGAAGGACUUUAUGGAAAAGGUAAGGUUUAAAAUCCCGGACCCAGUUUGGAGGUCUCCAGAGACCUAGAGCUACGGACCCCAGGGGCUGAGAGGCUGUUGUUCAGGCCGGCGGCCGCACGGUGGCGAUGUUGCGCUGUUCCAGGGCGUGGGCGCUCACGGGUGGGGCGGGGUGGCUGGGGCCGUCUGUUGUGUUCUUGCGGCUGCCUUCUGCCGCUUCCCAGUCACCUUUCAGGUAGUGAAAUCGGUGCCUGGCUCAGGGUGAGCAUCGAAGAGGUCCCCAGCCUGAAGCCUUUCCUGGCCAGCCCUUCAGACCCUUUAGUGUCCCCACCUCCAGUCUAUAGCCAGGACCUGCUGGCUCUGGCACUGGGGACUGGAGGAGGACAAAUCCUCAGGGCAGGCUCUGAAAAUGGCUUUGGAGACUGAGGAGGACAGAGUGGUGACCUGUGGGCCGAGAUGGGUGCCAUCUCUAAGUGGAACUUUAUCCCAUGAGACACAACCGGCCGGCCCCAGAGACAACUGUGCAGGGCCAUUUAAAAACCACACAUGUGGGCAUGUCUGUCCAUACACAUGUACACAGGUAUUCUGGG